Molecule: ribosomal RNA, 471 nt
Filed under: uncultured Nitrosospira sp.
Lineage: Bacteria; Pseudomonadati; Pseudomonadota; Betaproteobacteria; Nitrosomonadales; Nitrosomonadaceae
Description: bacterial SSU rRNA
Rfam family: Bacterial small subunit ribosomal RNA
Source: RNAcentral
ACGGGGGGAGGAAAGUAGGGGAUCGUAAGACCUCGCGUUAUUGGAGCGGCCGAUGCCGGAUUAGCUAGUUGGUGGGGUAAAGGCCCACCAAGGCGACGAUCCGUAGCUGGUCUGAGAGGACGACCAGCCACACUGGGACUGAGACACGGCCCAGACUCCUACGGGAGGCAGCAGUGGGGAAUUUUGGACAAUGGGCGAAAGCCUGAUCCAGCCAUGCCGCGUGAGUGAAGAAGGCCUUCGGGUUGUAAAGCUCUUUCGCAAGGAAAGAAAACUUACCUACUAAUACUAGGUGAGGAUGACGGUACCUUGAUAAGAAGCACCGGCUAACUACGUGCCAGCAGCCGCGGUAAUACGUAGGGUGCGAGCGUUAAUCGGGAUUACUGGGCGUAAAGCGUGCGCAGGCGGUUUCGUAAGUCAGAUGUGAAAUCCCCGGGCUCAACCUGGGAACUGCGUUUGAAACUACAAAGCUAG